This 241-nucleotide ribosomal RNA is filed under the name uncultured bacterium. RNAcentral's name for it is "partial 16S ribosomal RNA". It matches the Rfam family "Bacterial small subunit ribosomal RNA", at positions 118 to 351 of the family's 1533-position model. The record is from RNAcentral.
UGAGCGACCUACCUAAUUGUGGGGGAUAGCCGGCCCAACGGCCGGGGUAAUACCGCAUACGAUCGGAGAGGGGCAUCCCUUUCUGAGGAAAACGCCUUCGGGUCGCAAUUUGAGGGCUCGCGGCCUAUCAGCUAGUUGGCGGGGUAACGGGCCCCACCAAGGCGACGACGGGUAGCCGGCCUGAGAGGGUGACCGGCCACACUGGGACUGAGACACGGGCCCAGACUCCUACGGGAGGCAG